UCCUUUCAAGUCUGCAAAACAACAAUAUAUUAAUGUAAAGUAAUUAGUGUAAACUCGUUUAUGCCCACUCACGGCCGGUACGACCACAAACUCUGCCGUCUCGCCUACAUGAUGUGCGUCCACGCCCACAGUUUUCCCCCUACUCUGGCGAGGCCUCCAGUACUUCCGAAUAUUUUGUUCGGAUUAUUUGCCAUCAAGGAUAAAUUAGCAUACUGUGCACAAACAUAUGUGAUAAAAGUUCCUACGAUUUGACACUACAGAGGUAGAGCAACAUGAAAAAUAAAAGAUCAUGCUUCUAAUCUUCAGACUUGUGUAGUUUAAAAAAAUGGCGAUAACCUUACAACAUUUUUCAGACUCCCGUCCUAAUUGAAAAUCAUUGUUGCAUUAAGGAACACCUAUGGAAUCCAAAAAAACACUAACAGCAAGCAACAAUGACAUGGAUGGCUACCUUAUUGCUUUGGAAGUGGAUGGCAUGAGCCGUCGCCCAGAUGCACGAAACAGUCCCAGCCAUGCACAGCUAGCCGAGAAACAUUGGGUCAAAACAAGGGUGUUGGUACCUUGAGCAACAACGCCAUCACGUUGACAAAUGCCCAACCCAACUGCUCGUGGCCAUCCUCGGCCACCACCUGGACACACUCCUCU
Molecule: long non-coding RNA, 642 nt
Filed under: Triticum aestivum (bread wheat)
Lineage: Eukaryota; Viridiplantae; Streptophyta; Magnoliopsida; Poales; Poaceae
Description: long non-coding RNA (TAES_LNC019579)
Source: RNAcentral